Molecule: transfer RNA, 56 nt
Filed under: Escherichia coli
Lineage: Bacteria; Pseudomonadati; Pseudomonadota; Gammaproteobacteria; Enterobacterales; Enterobacteriaceae
Description: tRNA-Val
Rfam family: tRNA
About the family: Transfer RNA (tRNA) molecules are approximately 80 nucleotides in length. Their secondary structure includes four short double-helical elements and three loops (D, anti-codon, and T loops).
Source: RNAcentral
GAUUAGCUCAGCUGGGAGAGCACCUCCCUUACAAGGAGGGGGGCGGCGGUUCGAUC